RNAcentral lists this ribosomal RNA (465 nucleotides) under uncultured bacterium. RNAcentral's name for it is "partial 16S ribosomal RNA". It matches the Rfam family "Bacterial small subunit ribosomal RNA", at positions 338 to 795 of the family's 1533-position model. The record is from RNAcentral.
CCUACGGGAGGCAGCAGUGGGGAAUAUUGCGCAAUGGGCGAAAGCCUGACGCAGCGACGCCGCGUGAGGGAUGAAGGUCUUCGGAUCGUAAACCUCUGUCAGCAGGGAAGCACGGUCACUGUGCUAAUCAGCAGUGAAUUGACGGUACCUGCAAAGGAAGCACCGGCUAACUCCGUGCCAGCAGCCGCGGUAAUACGGAGGGUGCGAGCGUUAAUCGGAAUUACUGGGCGUAAAGCGCUCGUAGGCGGUAUGUCAAGUCAAGGGUGAAAUCCCCGCGCUCAACGUGGGAACUGCCUUUGAAACUGGCAAACGUGAGAGUGUGAGAGGAUAGUGGAAUUCCAGGUGUAGGAGUGAAAUCCGUAGAUAUCGGGAGGAACAUCAGUGGCGAAGGCGACUAUCCGGCACAUAUAUGACGCUGAGGAGCGAAAGCGUGGGUAGCAAACAGGAUUAGAUACCCCAGUAGUC